CGGUUCCUCUCUGCCUUCCCAGGGGUGUCUCCACCUUUCCCCAAGGGUUUCCAAGGGUUUGGGAGCUGAUCUGCAGCCAGAAGCCAGCCUGGACCCGUUGCAAUUAAAGGGGUGAAACAAGUAUAACCCCCCCCAACCCAAAAAAAACCCAAACAACUAAUUGAAACAGUGAAACAAAUAUAACCCGCCCAAAAACCAAAUUAAAAUGCUAAACAAAUAUAACCCCCCAGAAGGCAAAUUAAAAUACUGAAAUAAAUAUAACCCCUCCCCCAAUCCAAAUUAAAACACUGAAACAAAUACGCCUCCCCCCUAAAAAACUAAUUGAAAUAGUGAAACAAAUAUAACCCCCUCAGAAACCAAAUCAAAAUGCUAAACAAAUAUAAUUCCCCAAAAGCCUGAUUAAAAUACUGAAACAAAUAUAGCUCCUCCCAAAGCAAUGCAAUUAAAAUACUGAAACUAGUAUAAACCCUCCCAAAAAACCAAAUUAGUAGACUGAAACAAAUAUAACCCUUCCCAAAAAUCAUCCAAUAAAAAUACUGAAACAAGUAUAAACUCCCCCCCAAAAAGCCAAUCAGUUAAUUUACAGAAACAAAUAUAACCCCCACAACAAGUCCAUUUAAAAUACUGAAACAAAUAUAAACCCUUCCAAAAAGCCCAAUUAAAAUACUGAAACAAGUAUAAACCCUCCUUAAAAAUCCAAUUAAAAUACUGAAACAAAUAUAACCCCCCUCAAAGCAAAUUAAAAUAUUGAAACAAGUGUAACCCCCCCAGAAGCCUAAUUAAAAUGGUGAAACAAGUAUAAGUCCCACAACCCAAUUAAAAUAGUGAAACAAAUACAAACACCUGUUAAAAUACUGGAACAAAUCUACACCCCUAAAAAAAGCCACAUAAAAUUUGUAUUUGUUGUUUCAAGAGGAAGACAAAAGUCUGCAUCACUCAUUAAAAGUCCAAAAGGGAAAGACAAAUUAAUCCUGCCUGACACAGAUUCCAGAUAGAGCCUAAAUAUAAAAAUCUGGGUUUGUGCAGGAGCUCUCCAGAGCCUUUGCAGCGGUGAAGGAGCAGCUGGGUGUCAGUGAAUGCACCAGGGCUGCACACAAGCACAGACAGCAAUGAUGCCCUUUGGUUUUUGUGGUUUUUUUCAUGUUCCCUGUAUUCUCUGCACAUCCAUUUGUAGCUCUGUGGCUGUUGUAUCAGUGGCUGCUUGUCCCUGUGGUUUUCCAUGGCUUUUCCCUAGGCAGAAAGACAAAACAAAUUCCAGAGCUCCAAGUCCUGAGGGCACAGAGCCCCAGUGCUCUCCUGGUUCUUGCUGGGAACCAAAAUUGAGAACAACUCUCAGAGAUAUUUCAUGGACCCAAGAUCCACUCUUAUAUUACCUCCUUACUAAAUGAUCCCGAGUUCCAUUUCCAAGUUGAGAAAAGGCAGAAACAGAGAGUGGCAAUAGCUUUGUUCCGUUUCCUGAUUGAGGAAGGGCAAAAAACAGGUGGAAAUAACUUUUUCCCAUUUCCUGGUUGAGAAAAGGCAGAAACAGAGAGUGGAAAUAACUUAUUCCAUUUCCAGGUUGACAAAAGGCAGAAACAGAGAGUGGCAAUAACUUUGUUCCAUUUCCUGGUUGAGAAAAGGCAAAAAACAGGUGGAAAUAACUUUUUCCCAUUUCCAGGCUGAGGAAAGGCAGGAACACAGGGUGGCAAUGACUUUGUCCCCUCCUGGUUGACAAAAGGCAGGGACACAGGGUGGCAAUAACUUGUUCCAUUUCCAUGUCGAGAAAAGGCAGGAACAGAGGGUGGCAAUGACUUUGUUCCAUUUCCUGGUUGAGAAAAGGCAGAAACAGAGGUGUCAAUAACUUUGUUCCCUUCUGGUUGAGAAAAGGCAGAAACAGUGAGGUGGAAAUAACUUUGUUCCAUUUCCUGGUUGAGGAAAGGCAAAAAACAGGUGGAAAUAACUUUGUUCCGUUUUCUGGUUGAGGAAAGGCAGGAACUGAGGGUGGCAAUAACUUUUUCCCAUUUCCAGGCUGAGGAAAGGCAGGAACACAGGGUGGCAAUGACUUUGUCCCCUCCUGGUUGACAAAAGGCAGGGACACAGGGUGGCAAUAACUUAUUCCAUUUCCAGGUUGACGAAAGGCAGGAACAGAGGGUGGCAAUAACUUGUUCCAUUUCCUGGCUGAGAAAAGGCAGGAACGGAGGGUGGCAAUGACUUUGUCCCCUCCUGUUCCCCCCUGGUUGUGCGAGGGGGUUUUGGGGUGGCUCGGGGAGGUUCUGGCUCCCUCGGGGCCGGACCCUGCGCUGCCCUGGCUGUGCUGUGCC
This is a long non-coding RNA of Melospiza georgiana, 2300 nucleotides long. RefSeq lists it as uncharacterized. The transcript has 3 exons. The record is from RefSeq and is a predicted model, not a curated record. Lineage: Eukaryota; Metazoa; Chordata; Aves; Passeriformes; Passerellidae.